Molecule: ribosomal RNA, 409 nt
Filed under: uncultured Glomeromycotina
Lineage: Eukaryota; Fungi; Glomeromycota
Description: SSU rRNA
Rfam family: Eukaryotic small subunit ribosomal RNA
Source: RNAcentral
AGCAGCCGCGGUAAUUCCAGCUCCAAUAGCGUAUAUUAAAGUUGUUGCAGUUAAAAAGCUCGUAGUUGAAUUUCGGGACUAACAGGUUGGUCGCGCCUUUGGUGUGUACUGGUCUAGUUGGUUUCUCCCUUCUGACGAACCACGAUGUCAUUAGUUUGGUGUCGUGGGAAAUCAGGACUGUUACUUUGAAAAAUUAGAGUGUUUAAAGCAAGCGCUAGCUUGAAUACAUUAGCAUGGAAUAAUGAAAUAGGACGUUUGACCCUAUUUUGUUGGUUUCUAGGAUCGACGUAAUGAUUAAUAGGGAUAGUUGGGGGCAUUAGUAUUCAAUUGUCAGAGGUGAAAUUCUUGGAUUUAUUGAAGACUAACUACUGCGAAAGCAUUUGCCAAGGAUGUUUUCAUUAAUCAAAGA